Molecule: ribosomal RNA, 253 nt
Filed under: uncultured bacterium
Lineage: Bacteria
Description: partial 16S ribosomal RNA
Rfam family: Bacterial small subunit ribosomal RNA
Source: RNAcentral
UACGGGGGGAGCAAGCGUUGUUCGGAUUUACUGGGCGUAAAGGGCGCGUAGGCGGCGUGUUAAGUCAGCUGUGAAAUCUCCAAGCUUAGCUUGGAACGGUCAGCUGAUACUGAUGUGCUAGAGUGCAGAAAGGGCAAUCGGAAUUCUUGGUGUAGCGGUGAAAUGCGUAGAUAUCAAGAGGAACACCUGAGGCGAAGGCGGGUUGCUAGGCUGACACUGACGCUGAGGCGCGAAAGCUAGGGUAGCAAACGGG